AAACCCUAGUUAGAAAUAUAAAUAAAUAAGUAUAUCCUCCAUUUCCGUCUCCAAAACUGUCCUGUCAAAUGCGUAAUGACGUCAUACGUCACGCUGUGCGUCCUGUCACGUGACGGUGCGCGGCCAAUCGGGUUGUUUUAUAUCCGGAAGUCACUCGCGAGCCGCGAGCUUCGAGAGGGGGAUACGUUGGGAACAUUUGCUGCAAGGAGCCAACUACCGGAGCCGCCAGGCGUCGUGUGGAGUCGCGGGUGUUGAUUAAAGAAGGAAUUGGCCAGGUGAUGGCGAGCUAGACCCAAAGAAUUCUAGGCCCACACCCUGCCUGAAGAACCCUGGAGCUCGAACUGAAGUGAACUGAACUGGACCUCCUGCACCUCCUCCACCUGGUUGGGCUGGUAGGAGGCUCCUUUAAGGCAGCCGCCCCUCUCUUUUACUUUUUGCCUCUCGCAACAACUCAUUCUUGGCCCAAACCCAUUCACCACUCGUUUAACACUCCCUUUCCCUGGACACCGCCCUUUCCCUCUGGACGAUUUGGGCCACUGAACUGUUGCGUGUGUUCUAUCUCGGCUGAACUUCAGAACUCUUUCGCGCGUCUAAUGGGUCGUUUCUCGCGUGAUAAUGGAUCCAUCGAAUAAUGUUUUCUUGUGAAAUAAUUGUGACUUAAUUCUGCACUUCUCAUGAAUGGCCAUUCACUUUAAAUGUUAAAUGUUGUUUGCCGAUGUCAAAAUAUAAUUGGUACCACCUAAAACUUACAUCAUUGUGUUCAGUCUCCUUUCCUCCACUCCUAGAGCCGAACUUAGAUCUGUCUGAUCUCUAGCCCAAUUCAACCAAUACUCUAACUGCAAACUAGUACUAAUACAGCGCUAAUAGUAGCGGCAUAUAGGCUACAAAAGGUUAUUCUUAAAAUUAAAUAAAAUUACAUUCAAAAUAGUGUUAGACAACCCCAAAUAUCUACCCAGCUUUAGCAGCAUUUUUUUCAGUUCUUGUAUUUUUUUAUUCAUUGACAGAUAUUUUGGAUGUCUUUAAAAUUAAAAAAGACAAGUUUUGCUUCCAUAUACCAAUUACGCAAAAUCAACCAUCAUGUGAUAAAAUAACCACUUCACAACCACUUUACGGCAUUUAUAAAAUUUAUUUAUAUAGAUAUAUUCAUCUAUACUGUUAAGUAUGUAUGAUAGUAUGUAUAUAUUUAUAUAGAAAUCUAUGCAUACUGCAAUCCUUUCACAGAGGAGAACAGAACCACAUGUCAGCAAUGUUAACACAAUGACAGAAGCUCUGGAUAUUAAAGGCCAGACAUUCUGGACUCAUCGACACAGAACAAAAAGAUGGCAUUGCGAAAAAUAUCUGAACACCAGCAACUCAGCUGUCACCUCGACUCAGCUUAUUUCUUUAAAUUACAAUCACUUCAGUGAUAUUACAAUCAUAUUUUAUGUGGAAUAGUCCUAUCUAUUGUCUUUAACUACACUCAGCUUAAGUCUGUACAGUUUUGUAAAAUAGAAAUGAAAUUCGUUUCAAGCAGGUUGGAGUUGCUGGUGACUCCAAGACAAUGUUCUCCGUGCGGCCCCGUGUUCUGGGACAAAUAUGACAGCAGACGCUGGGAUCCCAGGAAUAUCUGAAGAGAAGGGAAACUGCAAUGUCCAACAUGAUAAAACAAGUCCAGGAUUUUACUGGUUCACUCUCCAUUUCUGCUGAUCCAUGUGUUGAAUUCUGACACAAAUACAUUUGAUUUGUCACAAUGCCCAAAUAAUUUAGAAAAAAAUGACCCGCAACUGACAAGAACACAGCAUAGCAUGUACACAACUGCAUGAAAAGCCUGAAAUAAGACUUCUUCCCAAUUCAUUCAAAUUAAAACAUUCUAAUUUCUCUGGUGGCCAAAGUCGAAACAUGACUCUUAAUUGUCCUCAUUUCUCUCACUGUCCCUCUGCUUCAUUUUGUUUUUAAAAAGGACUUUACCUCAUCAUUCAGUGUCCAUGUUUUUUUCUUUUAGGUUUACCCUCUACCACAUGAGCGCAGCACCAAAAAAUCUAAUUAAUGUGUGCCGCUGAAACAAGUUUGGACUCCUCGCUAUACAGCUCAAAUCACAAAGCAGUCACAUAUUGCACUAUGAAUGCAAAAAUACCAGUCUACACUAUACAGAAAAGUGCAUCUAACAUUUGUACAGUUGCUACACACAAACACGAGAAACAUAUACAUCAAUCAUUGUGUCUGUAUGUAUGCAAUACCAUCAGACAGGCUGUCACAUCCUAAAGUACAGUACAAGAACAUUUUAUGGUCUUCUUUCCCCAUUUAUAUGUCAAGUUCAGUUCCUAGACAGGAGGAGCAGAACCCAAAGCCUCAUGGGAGAAUCAUGGAGGUGCAGGUGUGGUUGAGUGGAAGGUGAGGCGGAGCUGGUGGUCCGGGUGGCCUCCAGGGUAUUUUUUCAGUUUAUGUCAGGGUGUGGAGGUCAAGUGCUGGAGGAAACUUCAGGAAUGGACCUUGAAGGCCAGCAGCUGCUCAGAGUGCAUGUUAUUGAGCGAGCGCAGGUCGGGCAGUUUGAGCAGCAGCUUGGUGAAGAUGGCCGACUCAUUUGGGUGGUUCUUGGUAAUGAGGCUUCGCAAUGCACGGAUCAGCGUCUCCUGCAGGGCCUCCACGGAGUUCACGUUCUCGAUGCCGGAACGAUCUGGGAGGGAGAGGGGUGGAUGGCAUUGGUUGGGGUUUGUUUAAUGAGCAAAAUAAAAUUUGAAACAAACAACCCAAAACACAAGAUGUAUUGCAGAAUUUAGGUUGCACUAACAUAUAAACUAUAAUACAUCCACUAACUGUGCUUCCUAACAUGAGGGUUUUGGCCCUCCAAAAGGCCCUCUGAUGUGUCAUCUGUUUCGCAGCAUUUAUUAAGAAUUUAAAAAAAUUACUUUUUCUGGCGCUAUGUGUGGCCAUAAAACCAACAAGCACCCUUUACUUAACCUAGUAAGAAUCUGUACACAUGUACAACGAGUAUCACACAGAACUUACAAAUAAAUAUUUGCAAAUUGGAAAAUCUUGCUUAUACCUUCAGGCAUAGUUCUUCUAGAAAAAUAAAAUUACACAAAACAGAAACACAAAAAGACCAGUGUAAUAAAACACAGAGGAAACUGUUAUAUAAGACCUAUGCUGGUGGAGCAUUAUGAGUCCUGGUUUGGUUUGAAUUAACCCGGAUAGACUGGAAUAAUGUGUGUACAGUUUUUUAAUUUUUAAUUGCUAUGAAAUCUGAUAACACAAUUUCAUAAAAUAUUUUCAAGUGUUUCUAAAUAUUAGGAUAUUUGUCAAGAUACACAAGUGACUCAAAAUGAUGGCUGAGAGCUUAAAGCAUUAACCAUGUAUGUGUGUGUGUGUGUGUGUGUGUGUGUGUGUGUGUGUGUGUGUGUGUGUGUGUGUGUGUGUGUGUGUAUAUAUAUGAAUGAUAGCGCCCCCAGAGUGAAGCCAAAAUGUCUUGGUCGCCCCCUAGUGGCUGGCUGCAAUAUAUACCUGCCCCCUCCAUACUGAUGGACCUUGAUUCCACAUUGAAAUCCCCUGACGUCACCAGUGGUGACACAUUUUCCAAUUCUCCAACUCUAUAUAGAGGGCACUGAUAAAACCGAAUGGAAAACAGCCUAACAACUUAACAACACACCUGCAGAGACCAGCACCACAGCAGUGAAAAGGCUCAUCUCCUCCUCACUGAGUCCCAGGUUGAUGAGCUUCUCGCUGAAGUCAAACAUGGAGUUGAGGAGAUCCCCGGCCCCCAUAGCCCUCAGAGUGUCCACGCUGUACUUCUUGCCUCCCAGAAAAGUGACAGUACGAUCCUUCACAUCGAACAGUGAAGCAAAGCGAACCACCAAGACCUGCGGACAUGAGAACGCCUCCGAGGUUAUAUUCUGAGCUUUCAGUACAACCUGACAAACAUCUGGUGUGUGUUGAAAAGAAUGAAUAGAUUGUACCUCAAAGGUGCCAGCCUUCAGCAGGCUGACCUGAUCGUGCUGAGACAAGUCUCUAAAGCCUGGGAUCUUCUUAGCAAAUUCCACCACCUCCCUGACAGCAGGGGUGAAGCUGUGGGAGAACUCCUCCCACACCUCAUGUCCAGACUUCUGAGGGUCCACAUGAGGGGAUGUGUUCAUUGGACAAACCUAGAUGAACAUUAGUCAGAGUUCAGAUUGGGUCUGGCCAACAUCAGUGCAUCACCUUUGAAUUUCUCUCCAACAUUUGUUAAUAUUCAUCAGAUUUUAAUUAUUUGCAUUUGUGUUUGAAAAGCCAUCUUUUUGCUUUUGUGAGGCAUACUGAACUAGUCUUGUGUUGCACCUAUGAUGUCUCUACCCUGCGUUCAUCUUACCAGAUGCAUUCUGUUGCCUCCCCUCCAGAGAGGGCCAAUGUAGGCUCCGUUGGCUGGGCCCUCUGUAGGCGGAGCUCUGAAAGCUCCAUGCGUGUAGGCCGGACAGUGGCUGGUGGCGGCGCUCCUGGACAGUCUGAAGGGGCAGUGGUUCAGGGUGUUCUCCUGCACCUGAGGACCCAGGCUGGAGGGGGGUUGGUGAUCUGUCAUGGUGACCAGGUUGUUGCGGUGGUUCCAGGCAUCCUGGCGCUCCUCUGGCUGGUGGCUGCUGGUGGUGGUGUUUUUGGCAGAACCAUUAUUUAGGGGGCCAGUGGGUGCUGAAGGCUCAGCCGCCAGACUGCUCUGCUCCUGGUUGUACAUGAAGGUCUCCUGGUGGGCCCUGGUCACCGAACCAAUCACCUCCUCCUCGCCGCUGUCUGACGCACUGGGUGAGGCUGAGCUUGGGCUGGUGUCCAUGGAGACAGCAGGCUCAGGAUCAGAACUGGAGUCUGACUGGUUGGAACACGGUGAGGAGGAAGGAGAGCAGGAGGGGGCGGGGCCAGCGUCCUCAGAGGUAGGCUCGGUGGCGCUGGCCGGCAGCGGUUUGGCGAUGGGCAGCGUCUGGCUGCUGUGGAGCUGGCUUUGCAGCUGGCUGUUGUUCAUCAUAUUGUUCAUGGCACUUUGCAUCUCCAGCAGCAUACGCUGCUUCUCCCGCUUGGGGAUUCGGCCAAAACGCACAGCUGAAAAGCAAGGAGAGAAUCAUUUUAGUAGGAUUCACCUUUAUUUUAUAAUAAUGAGGUGAGGAUGAACAUUUUACGAAUUCUUUUGCAGUAGUAUUUAUUACUUAUGUAUUUUAGAAUAUUCUUCUUUAAUAAUUUCUUUGGGUCUCCACACUUUUUGUGUUGGUGGAGGUGCAAUGCCGGCUGUAUUCUUAACAUUUUCAGUUUCUGAUUACACUUCAUAAUUACCUAUCAUCUGCUUUUCUGCAUUAAAACAGCUCGUAUUAGUAAAAACAUUACUUUAUCUAUAUAGAGUUUGCCCCAAUAUUAAGUAUCAAGUAAAUUCAUGCUGUACGAAAGAUUGAGUGGAGCUCAGCAAAGACUGCAGGUACUCACAGUCUCUGGACAUCCCCACCAUCAGGCAUUUCUUAAAGCGGCACUGCUGGCAGCGGUUCCUGUUGAUCCUCAUGAUGGGGCAGCUCUCGUUCUUAAGGCACUUCUUAUACUGGAUGUUCUGCUGGAUGCUCCUCCUGAAGAAGCCCUGUGUCCACACAGACAAGCAGCAUAGUGGUAAGACACGUGAUUGUUUUUUGUGUUUGUUUUGUAUCACAGCAAAUAGAUCAUGACACUACAGAACCCCAGAGGAGACUGAAUCAAUCACACUCAUUGACACCAAAGUACUUGGACUGUAUUGGAUUUUAAGUAGAAAAAAAUAGUUGCUUAACAAGUCAAUCAGCAGAUCAAUGAGGACUCUGAACAAAACGUGAUCUGAAGUCACCUUCAGCACCUUCAUGUUUUGUAGACCCAAUGGUUAAUAUUCAAUGACAGAUUUAAAUCUAACUUCUACUGACACGUUGACCAUAUGAGUCAUAUCAGCCUGAAACCUGUGUGCGUGCGUGCGUGCGUGCGUGCGUGCGUGCGUGCGUGCGUGCGUGCGUGCGUGCGCCCCCUCUAAGGAGUACUGUAGUGCGUCUGACUCCGUGUGCUGCUCCCCAUAGUUAACUAGGCCACACAGCAACAUGAAGUAUGAGGGGCAGCUGAUAUAAAUAUGGGGAGAGUGAACUAGUUUCCCUGAGUCUCUGGUUGGAGCUGUGCAGAUGGUUAUGCCUGUGGUGACCCACUUCAACUGCAGCUUAAAGUGACUGCAACACCCAUCGCUAUGUUGUCGAGAAUCAUUCUCCUCCAGUGUCCUGCAAGUGUGUGUGUCAUCCAGAGAGCCACCCUCACCUUGCAGCCCUCGCAGGCGUGGACUCCAUAGUGGAAACCGGAUGCCACAUCACCACACACUUUACACAGCAGCACCAGGCCGUUGAUUUCUGAAUGAUGGAAAAACACAGUCUUAAAGUUCAUCUGAAAGAGAAUCGCAUCAGUGAUUCUGCAUAUUAAUCACCUUAAUUAAAAAUUGCCUAAAAUUUCCUUUAAUACAGCCAUUCUAUAAAGUGCACCGGAUGCACAAAACAGCUUGGUGAGUGUACAUUUAAAAUUAAAUAAAGCUAAUGUGACUUUACUACACAGCAAGUAACAUUGAGAUGAGGUACAUCACAUGAAAAGAUUAACGUGAUACAGAUACACGGACCUGUGGUAGUCAUGUGUAGUUUGUACGAUCUAUUCUAAGGGUUUUUAAAGGGUGAAUCAAGCUACAUUUAGUUUCUCUGCUUCUCAACAGCCCUGGCUUCACUUUUGCUUUUGGGACACUAAGAAAUCAACUUCGAAAAAAUACAGUGAGUUGUGACAGUUUUGAGAUCAGUAUACUGAUUCAGAAAUUAUCUCCAUUGUGCACUGAAAAUAGCUGAGAGCAGCAACUCUAGUUAAAACUUUAAAAAAUGUGCAUUUCCACAUGCAUAAAGAAGUUACAUUUAUGAACACAACCAUAAGAACACUGCACAAGCUGAUACAAGCAACUUCUGAAAACAGGAGUGUCCGUCUUACUUGUGAUGCCACACUUUGCCGAGGACGAGGAGCGCCCGCUUUUCUGAGUCCCUGGAAGGUUCUGACCACCGGUGAACGUGGGGUCAGCUGACUGGCUCAGCUGGCUGGGUGAGGAGCCACGGGGCGGUGAGGACGACUGGUAGCUGCCAUUAGAUGAGUCGCUGUGGCAAGACUCUGGGCUGGAGGCGGAGCUGGAUGAGCUGAUGUAGGCUAUUACGCCUCCUGGUGUGAAAACAGCAGAGUGGAGAAGAAAUGGGCUGUUAUGACAGGGCCUGCAGCCACCAGUUAACACUGCAGAGCUCAGUGCUGGAAAAGAUCAGCUCCAGGGACGCUCCCUGCGUGGAACCAACCAGCUUAACAUAAAGAGGGCAGAUCAGAAUAUGACAACAGCUUCCCGGACCAGUAGGAGUCGAGCAGACAGGCUGCUGCUGCCGCUGAGCACCAUUUCAACUCCCUUCCUCCUCCGCCAUAGGCUGACCUGAUUUCUUCCUUUGCCAUUCUCAAUGAUUAGACCAUCUCCAGUGGAUUUAGAUCAUGUGACUGUGGAGGGCAAGUCAUCUGAGGCAGAAGUUCAUCGCUCUGGGUGAUCUCCACUGACAGACGGCUAGAUUGGAAUUCUUCUUAUGAAUGAUCCAACUCUGUGACGCUGAGGGGAUAGCCAUAAAAGCAGCUGUGUGAGUUUACAGAGCAGGUCAGAGGUUACUGCUACCCUGCAGACUAAUGUACAGAGGGACAAUGAAGAGGGAGUAAGGUGAGAGGUUUCCCAGAGACUAUGGGUUGAGGAGGAAUUGGAAGUUUGUCGGCUUAGACCUGGUGUCAUUCCAUCAGUGUUAAACUUCCCGGCUCAUCUUGGAAGAGUAUGUGCCAGAAAGACCACGACCAAGCAGCCUUGAGAUCUUAGACAGCGUCUCCCUAAGGUGGUUGUCAACGGUGUUCACGGUCAGGUCUGUGGUAAUCCUGUCAAAAAACAAAACAGAAAAAAAAUCUAGAUUAUAAAUCAACAUGUAGCCAAAGCACUCUGUGUAUAACGCCAUAGUAUAGGAUGUAGUUCAGAAAAUGUCAAAGUAUAGUAUGCUUUACUCAAGAAUAGCAUAGUAUGGCCUGUAGUUCAUAGUACAGCAUGUUGGCAAGAAAAAAAAAUGAAACAGAUUAUUAUGUGGUUCAAAAAGCGCAAAAUGAUAGGACGUUGCCUAAAAUUGUCAUGUAUGAUAUGUGGUUCAAAAAAUGUCAUAGUGCAGUAUAUUGUCAAAAUAGUAUGUAAUUCAAGAAAACAUCAGAGUAUAAUAUGUCAUCUAAAAAAUGCCAUAGAAUAAUAAUUUCAUUGCACAAGUAAAAGUGUAGUAACUUUUAAAACUGUUCGAAUUCUUAUAUGUUGCUAAAAAAAAACCCAAAAAACUAAAACAAAAAAAAGUCACAGUAAUAUGUCAAUUAGAAAAGCCUAUAGUAUAGCGUGUCGCCCAACAAACAUCAUAGUAUAGCAUGUCGCUCUAAAAACGUCAUAGUAUAGCCUUUAGUCCACAGCUGUCAGUAGGUGAGGAGCAACACAAAACCAGUCCAAACGCUGGUUUCCAGAGGGUUAGACGAGAAUUUAUUUGAAAGAGUAAGUUUACAACAACACAUGUGAGGGGGUUAAAAACAAAUGGGUGUUAGUAAAAUAAAAAUAAAUAAACAGAACUAAACGUGAACUUCAUGUUGACAUUGAUGGACAUUCCAACUAGGAACAAAGUAAAAGAUAAUCAAUACAAAAAAAACCUCUUCCUGUUCACCUCUUAAAACCCCAAAACACACCGCAGUAGCACCCUAAACUAAAACUACCAAUGAGUUCCCUGUUUUCCUUUCUGAACAAUUCAAAGGUCCCUCUCUAUCUCCCCACACAUCCACCAACCACUGGAACACAUCUCCAAAGUUCUGCCGGGCCAGCUCAGCUUCCCCUCAGAAGAAGUGGUGCCACCUGCCAGAUGAAGGAGCCUUUUGAGAGGCAGCUGGCAUCGUGAUUGGACUGUACUUUGGUCUGUUCCAGUCCAGCUUCAGCUCCAGAGACGGCAGGCGGGACGAGUCAACGGAGGCCGGAUGGACGAAGGCAUGAAGCUGAGUACAAUCCAGAAAACAACAGAGGAGGAGUGCAGCAGCCCAGAGCCAGAACAAACAGAGUAGCAUCGUAUGUCUCUUAGAAAACAUCAUAGUAUAGCCUUUGCUAUGAAAAAACGCCAUCAUAUACAUCGUAUAUUGUACAAAUAACAAGUCAAAGGAAAGAGACAUACAUUGUAGAAUUGUAGUAAUUGUGGGCUGACUGAUUUACUGAUUAUCAGUAUUUUAUUUUUUACUGAUUUACAGUAAUAAAUCCAUUUAAAAAUGG
This is a long non-coding RNA of Amphiprion ocellaris (clown anemonefish), 9298 nucleotides long. RefSeq lists it as uncharacterized. Lineage: Eukaryota; Metazoa; Chordata; Actinopteri; Pomacentridae. The record is from RefSeq and is a predicted model, not a curated record. The transcript is spliced from 7 exons.